This is a long non-coding RNA of Lagenorhynchus albirostris (white-beaked dolphin), 675 nucleotides long. RefSeq lists it as uncharacterized. The transcript has 3 exons. Lineage: Eukaryota; Metazoa; Chordata; Mammalia; Artiodactyla; Delphinidae. The record is from RefSeq and is a predicted model, not a curated record.
CUUAAAUAGCCGAUUAAGCAUGCAGGAUGGCCUUGCUCAGAGCGCAGCACAGCGGGUUUCGCAGGGGACCUGGCCCUGGCUCAGGAGCGCAGCUGGGAUAAGUUUUAUGUUUCAAUGUUCCCCCAAAGCCCCACUCAUCCCAUCUAAGAAGAAGAAAAGGCUUAAAGUGUAAAUUAUACUUACUGGGAAUCAGGACAGUUAACACAGAGGAACAGAAAAAAGAAAGAAAGCAGAGACAUCUUUUGCAAGGUAGGAAAGAAGAGGCCCGGACAGAAUGACCUCUGCCAGGACAGAGUUCCCCUGGAGUGUCUGGGGCUGUGAUGCAGCCUCCCAAGCCCUUUGCUCACUCUGGGGUUGGCUGAAACCCUGCUAAAACCAAGUUCUGCUGCCUUCUGGCGCCAUCUCCUGUCCUUCCAAAUGCAGUGAAAUAUGAACCAGUCAGAGAGUCAAAGGUAUCCAAGUGUGGUGACUUUUGGGUUUGUUUUUUCUUGCCUUGUUUUAUUUAUUUAUUUACUCGGCUGUGCCGGGUCUUAGUCGCGGCACGUGGGAUCUUUGUUGUGGCAUGCAUGUGAGAUCUAGUUCCCUGACCAGGGAUCAAGCUUGGCCCCUCUGCAUUGGGAGCGUGGAGUUUUAAGCACUGGACCACAACGUACGUCCCAAGGGUUUGUUUUUUUC